UGGGGGAUAUUGCACAAUGGGCGAAAGCCUGAUGCAGCGACGCCGCGUGGGGGAUGAAGGCUUUCGGGUUGUAAACCUCUUUCGCUAUCGAACAAGGCCCGCUUAGGGUGGGUUGAGGGUAGGUGGAGAAGAAGCGCCGGCUAACUACGUGCCAGCAGCCGCGGUAAUACGUAGGGCGCGAGCGUUGUCCGGAAUUAUUGGGCGUAAAGGGCUUGUAGGCGGCUCGUUGCGCCUGCUGUGAAAACGCGGGGCUUAACUUCGCGCGUGCAGUGGGUACGGGCAGGCUUGAGUGUGGUAGGGGUGACUGGAAUUCCAGGUGUAGCGGUGGAAUGCGCAGAUAUCUGGAGGAACACCGAUGGCGAAGGCAUGUCACUGGGCCAUUACUGACGCUGAGGAGCGAAAGCAUGGGUAGCGAACAGG
RNAcentral lists this ribosomal RNA (420 nucleotides) under bacterium. Its description in RNAcentral is "partial 16S ribosomal RNA". It matches the Rfam family "Bacterial small subunit ribosomal RNA", at positions 355 to 776 of the family's 1533-position model. The record is from RNAcentral.